AUUUUUUUCGAGAACAUCCGAUAAAAUUAGAAUGAUACAGAAAAAAUUAAUAUGGUUUCUGCGCAAGAAUGACACGAAUAAAUCGAGAAAUAAUUCAACUUUAA
Raphanus sativus (radish) is the source of this 104-nucleotide small nuclear RNA. The record is from RefSeq and is a predicted model, not a curated record. Lineage: Eukaryota; Viridiplantae; Streptophyta; Magnoliopsida; Brassicales; Brassicaceae.